CAGAGCCGCGGGACCAGUGCGCAGGGCUGCGAAAUUGCCAUAUGCCUAGGGUGCUAAAACUCCUAGCGCCGGUCCUGAAAAUCACAUGCUCAAUGUU
Chelonoidis abingdonii (Abingdon island giant tortoise) is the source of this 97-nucleotide non-coding RNA. The record is from RefSeq and is a predicted model, not a curated record. NCBI's taxonomy places the organism in Eukaryota, Metazoa, Chordata, Testudines, Testudinidae.